Molecule: small RNA, 88 nt
Filed under: Cebus imitator (Panamanian white-faced capuchin)
Lineage: Eukaryota; Metazoa; Chordata; Mammalia; Primates; Cebidae
Description: Y RNA (ENSCCAG00000008320.1)
Source: RNAcentral
AGGUAGUGAGUUAUCUCAAUUGAUUGUUCACAGUCAGUUACAGAUUGAACUCCUUGUUCUACUCUUGCCCCCCUUCUCACUAUUGCGA